GAACGACCGGACGGUUUCCCCAAAGACGAACGAGGAACAGCAAUAUUCAUUUAGACGAUACAUCAUUUUUAAUAUCUCCUAACGUGGGCCCAUUGAUCAGUGUUUAAUUCCAAGUGAGCGGCGGUGCGUUUGGAACAAGACGAGCUUUCUAAUGUCAGGUGGAAGUACUGUCGCACAUCUGGGGCGGCAGAGAUCCCGCAGCGGUGGACCGAACUUCUGUCGUCCUCUCCUCAGACCGACGGCAGGACAGGGGCUGUGCACACUGGUACCUGAACACCGCUGCGAUGGAGCACAAUGCUCUGCUGCUGUUGCGCUCGACGGAUGCUGCUUGGAUGUGCGUAACGAUGAUGGUCCUGCAUAGUUUUGGAGAGUGACAUUACUGAAGAAUCACACUCUCACACACACACACACACACACACACACACACACACACACACACACACACACACACACACACACACACACACACACACACACACACACACACACACACACACACACACACACACACACACACACACACACACACACA
Gadus macrocephalus (Pacific cod) is the source of this 532-nucleotide long non-coding RNA. RefSeq lists it as uncharacterized. Lineage: Eukaryota; Metazoa; Chordata; Actinopteri; Gadiformes; Gadidae. The record is from RefSeq and is a predicted model, not a curated record. The transcript has 2 exons.